RNAcentral lists this small RNA (168 nucleotides) under Streptomyces sp. Its description in RNAcentral is "c-di-AMP sequence". It matches the Rfam family "c-di-AMP riboswitch aptamer (ydaO/yuaA leader)". From Rfam's summary of the family: This family represents a conserved RNA structure found upstream of the ydaO and yuaA genes in Bacillus subtilis and related genes in other bacteria. The ydaO/yuaA element is thought to act as a genetic "off" switch for the ydaO and yuaA genes in its native state. Lineage: Bacteria; Bacillati; Actinomycetota; Actinomycetes; Kitasatosporales; Streptomycetaceae. RNAcentral also lists the same sequence under 1 other name. The record is from RNAcentral.
UCGCGUCAAGCGCCGUAGGCAGGAGCGGGGGACCCAAGGUAAGUGCCGGGCCCAGCAGUUCACGCUGGACCGGCUUGGGGUGAAGUCGCGCAUCGCGAGAUGUGCGGCCGGGCAACUCAACCGGCCCGAACCCGACAGCUCACCUCGCAGGCGUCGGUGAGGGGAUCC